CAGUCGCCGCGGGAAAACGGAGGGUGCGAGCGUUAAUCGGAAUUACUGGGCGUAAAGCGUACGCAGGCGGUUUGUUAAGUCAGAUGUGAAAUCCCCGAGCUUAACUCGGGAACUGCAUUUGAAACUGGCAGGCUAGAGUCUCGUAGAGGGGGGUAGAAUUCCAGGUGUAGCGGUGAAAUGCGUAGAGAUCUGGAGGAAUACCGGUGGCGAAGGCGGCCCCCUGGACAAAGACUGACGCUCAGGUGCGAAAGCGUGGGGAGCAAACAGGAUUAGAUACCCGCGUAGUCCCUGUCUCUUAUAC
RNAcentral lists this ribosomal RNA (301 nucleotides) under uncultured bacterium. RNAcentral describes it as "partial 16S ribosomal RNA". It matches the Rfam family "Bacterial small subunit ribosomal RNA", at positions 509 to 807 of the family's 1533-position model. The record is from RNAcentral.